UCGACYUGAGCUCAGGCAAGAACACCCGCUGAAC
Molecule: ribosomal RNA, 34 nt
Filed under: Trebouxia sp. P-57-Ia
Lineage: Eukaryota; Viridiplantae; Chlorophyta; Trebouxiophyceae; Trebouxiales; Trebouxiaceae
Description: partial 26S ribosomal RNA
Source: RNAcentral